Molecule: ribosomal RNA, 609 nt
Filed under: Triticum aestivum (bread wheat)
Lineage: Eukaryota; Viridiplantae; Streptophyta; Magnoliopsida; Poales; Poaceae
Description: partial small subunit ribosomal RNA
Source: RNAcentral
CUAUAGGACAAGGUGCUUUGCCGUCUUCAACCUUGGAUCGCGGGUAUGAUCACCACCGUUGGCCGCCUCGUGCUCAUUAAAUCGGUCCUCACUUCCAUACCAGUCUACCACUCCAUCGCCAUGGAACUGCCGGCGUGGCUCAUACAGGGGUUUGAGAAGAGGAUCCGAGCCUUCUUCUGGAAGGGGACUGAUGUGGUGAGCGGCGGGCACUGCUUGAUUGCUUGGGACCAGGUAUGUCGGCCUGUCGAGUACGGCGGCCUUGGCAUCCUCGAUCUCAGGCUCUUGGGGUAUGCUUUCCGUGCUCGCUGGCUUUGGUUGCAGCGUACGUCUGUUGAGCCUGAAGUGCAGGAUGUUUUUGAUGCGUCUACCAACGUCGUUCUUGGGAACGGGCAUAAGGCCCUUUUUUGGUCUGAUCGUUGGCUGGAGGGCCAAUCCAUGAAGCUCACUGCACCAGACCUGUACGCCGCUGUUGACACCGCUGCCCGUGGCUCUCGUACGGUGGCUGAAGCCCUGACUAAUAGGCGUUGGAUCAGCGACAUAAAUGGGGCUCUAAGCGUACGGGUUAUCACGCAAUUCCUACUGCUUACAGGGCUUCAGUACGGUGGCUGA